GAGUUUGAUCCUGGCUCAGGAUGAACGCUGGCGGCGUGCCUAAUACAUGCAAGUCGAGCGAACGGACGAGAAGCUUGCUUCUCUGAUGUUAGCGGCGGACGGGUGAGUAACACGUGGAUAACCUACCUAUAAGACUGGGAUAACUUCGGGAAACCGGAGCUAAUACCGGAUAAUAUUUUGAACCGCAUGGUUCAAAAGUGAAAGACGGUCUUGCUGUCACUUAUAGAUGGAUCCGCGCUGCAUUAGCUAGUUGGUAAGGUAACGGCUUACCAAGGCAACGAUGCAUAGCCGACCUGAGAGGGUGAUCGGCCACACUGGAACUGAGACACGGUCCAGACUCCUACGGGAGGCAGCAGUAGGGAAUCUUCCGCAAUGGGCGAAAGCCUGACGGAGCAACGCCGCGUGAGUGAUGAAGGUCUUCGGAUCGUAAAACUCUGUUAUUAGGGAAGACAUAUGUGUAAGUAACUGUGCACAUCUUGACGGUACCUAAUCAGAAAGCCACGGCUAACUACGUCG
Molecule: ribosomal RNA, 516 nt
Filed under: uncultured microorganism
Description: bacterial SSU rRNA
Rfam family: Bacterial small subunit ribosomal RNA
Source: RNAcentral